GCCCAGACUCCUACGGGAGGCAGCAGUGAGGAAUAUUGGUCAAUGGCCGGAAGGCUGAACCGGCCAAGCCGCGUGAAGGACGAAGGUGCCAAGCAUUGUAAACUUCUUUUGUCAAGGGACAAAAUCAGGCUCGAGAGCCUGACCGAGGGUACUUGAAGAAAAAGCAUCGGCUAACUCCGUGCCAGCAGCCGCGGUAAUACGGAGGAUGCGAGCGUUAUCCGGAUUUAUUGGGUUUAAAGGGUGCGUAGGCGGACUGUUAAGUCAGCGGUAAAAGCCCGGGGCCCAAUCUCGCUCCGCCGUUGAAACUGGCGUUCUUGAGUGGGCGAGAAGUAUGCGGAAUGCGUGGUGUAGCGGUGAAAUGCAUAGAUAUCGCGCAGAACGCCGAUUGCGAAGGCAGCAUGCCGGCGCCACACUGACGCUGAGGCACGAAAGCGUGGGUAUCGAACAGGAUUAGAUACCCGAGUACC
Molecule: ribosomal RNA, 467 nt
Filed under: uncultured bacterium
Lineage: Bacteria
Description: bacterial SSU rRNA
Rfam family: Bacterial small subunit ribosomal RNA
Source: RNAcentral